CUCCUGUCAGCUCCCUUCUCUCUCCUCCGUUCCGGUCAGCUCCACUGCAAGUCUCGCGGGACUUACAGUGGAGCUGACCAGAACAGAGGACAGAGAAGGGAGCUAACAGGAG
Non-coding RNA from Pelobates cultripes (western spadefoot toad), 112 nucleotides. NCBI's taxonomy places the organism in Eukaryota, Metazoa, Chordata, Amphibia, Anura, Pelobatidae. The record is from the annotation of a GenBank genome assembly.